This 74-nucleotide transfer RNA is filed under the name Treponemataceae bacterium. RNAcentral's name for it is "tRNA-Arg". It matches the Rfam family "tRNA". Rfam says of the family: Transfer RNA (tRNA) molecules are approximately 80 nucleotides in length. Their secondary structure includes four short double-helical elements and three loops (D, anti-codon, and T loops). The record is from RNAcentral. Lineage: Bacteria; Pseudomonadati; Spirochaetota; Spirochaetia; Treponematales; Treponemataceae.
GCGAGAUUAGCUCAUUUGGAUAGAGCGUCGCCCUCCGGAGGCGAAGGUGGCAGGUUCGAGCCCUGUAUCUCGCA